GACGAACGCUGGCGGCGUGCCUAACACAUGCAAGUCGAGCGAGAAUCGCUUGAACAGAGGCUUCGGCCAACGGAAUGGUGAGGAAAGUGGCGAACGGGUGAGUAACGCGUGAGGAACCUGCCUCUCAGUGGGGGACAACAGUUGGAAACGACUGCUAAUACCGCAUAAUGUAACGAGACCGCAUGAUCUUGUUACCAAAGAUUUAUUGCUGAGAGAUGGCCUCGCGUCUGAUUAGCUAGUUGGUGGGGUAACGGCCCACCAAGGCGACGAUCAGUAGCCGGUCUGAGAGGAUGAACGGCCACAUUGGGACUGAGACACGGCCCAGACUCCUACGGGAGGCAGCAGUGGGGAAUAUUGCACAAUGGGGGAAACCCUGAUGCAGCGAUGCCGCGUGGAGGAAGAAGGUUUUCGGAUUGUAAACUCCUGUCUUAAAGGACGAUAAUGACGGUACUUUAGGAGGAAGCUCCGGCUAACUACGUGCCAGCAGCCG
RNAcentral lists this ribosomal RNA (490 nucleotides) under uncultured bacterium. Its description in RNAcentral is "bacterial SSU rRNA". It matches the Rfam family "Bacterial small subunit ribosomal RNA", at positions 28 to 517 of the family's 1533-position model. The record is from RNAcentral.